AAGUUCUAUACAAUUUGACUGUGGCUUCC
This 29-nucleotide non-coding RNA is filed under the name Rattus norvegicus (Norway rat). Lineage: Eukaryota; Metazoa; Chordata; Mammalia; Rodentia; Muridae. The record is from RNAcentral.